RNAcentral lists this ribosomal RNA (2424 nucleotides) under Triticum aestivum (bread wheat). Its description in RNAcentral is "partial small subunit ribosomal RNA". The record is from RNAcentral. Lineage: Eukaryota; Viridiplantae; Streptophyta; Magnoliopsida; Poales; Poaceae.
AUGAACAAGGCGGCGUCGCUUCCUGACGAGAUGAUCAUAGAGGUGCUGCAGUGGCUCCCCAUCAAAUUCGUCCUCCGCUUCCGGGCCGUCUGCCGCUCCUGGGACGCGCUACUUGUCAUGACCCAAGGAGAAGGAGUCCACCUCCUCCGCAGCCUCCACCUGGCCGCACGGCGGGAACCACUGAAACUGCUCUACAUCUCACCUACUGCCAGAUUUCUCUCCACCGCGGUGUAUGCUCGCUCCUUCACGCCGUCAUCAUUAGGGGGCAGCACCGGAGAUCGGGGGCACCUAUUGUUCACCAUUGACGGCGCCCGUGGCAACUGUGUGGAGGUAGUGACGCCGGUACCGUGCCGCGGCCUCACCCUUCUCUACGAUGCUCUCGCAAUGGCUUACUGCAUCUGCAACCCGGCCACACGGGCAACCACGCGUCUGCCACCUUCAACUGACAUAGCAUCAAGGUCCACUACUGGGCUGGGGUUUGAUGCCCGCACCAAGGAGCACAAGGUGGUGAGUCUGAUCAACGGGAUGUGCCAUGACAAGGUCGGGGUUAGGUGCGAGGUGUACACGCCCGGAGGUUGCUAUGGCGAUCGCUGGAGGCAUGUCGCUGGUGGAGUGCCCUCCAGCUUACGCCAAUUAGUAAGUUCCGCUGUUACCAAUGCAUCACUGAACAAAUUACCACCUGUGUUCGCAAACGGUUGCCUGCACUGGUUGAUGGAUCCUACAACACCAACAGUUGCCAUCAUAUGCUUUUCGAUCACAGAGGAAACCUUCACAUGCGCCCGGGCACCGCCCUUCUCGGUACCAUUACCAGCACCACGCCCGACUUCCAGGCCCUGUUCAUCAGGAGAGCACCUAACGGAGAUGCAUGGCCAACUGUAUAUGGUCCGAGACCUUCGCAACCGAGUCCCUCAUGCUUGCUCUUUGGAGAUUUGGAAACUGCUGGAUUAUGGCUCAGGCGGAUGGUCACUGCAUCAUCAAAUCAAUUUCUCCGAUCUGCUGGGAAGAGAUUUACGUGAGCCACAAAUUAGAGUUAUUGGGUCUUUUGGAGAUUGCAGGUCAUCAAGGAAGAAGAUAAUCAUCGCUACCAGUAAGCACAAGAUUGACAACAAGUAUGAGAAGAAGGUUCACACCUAUGACCCUAGGUCUGAAACUCUAGAGACCAUUCUUUCAGUCAUUGAGACACACUCAUCUCCUCGAUACGAGCGCCCUAGUUCAAGAUUCAGUUUAUUUGAAGAGACCUUAUCUCCAGUACAUAAAACAGAUGAAGAGAUAGCCUUGUCAUCCACCCAGGCUAAGGCGACUAGAGAGAUCCUACUCCGCCUCCCAGCUAAAUCAGCAAUACACUCUAAAUUGGUCUGCAAGCAGUGGCUCAGAUUGAUUGAGAAUGAAAACUUUACUGAGUCAUACUUUAAACAUAAGAACAUCGACAGAAGGCCCAAGGUCAUGCUUGUGGGCAAGGGCACUGGACAAUUGGGCUUCAGUUUUGCUCCUUUGAAUAUAUGUCUCCGAGGAACUCCUAGCCACAGUAGAUUGCUGGAUACGAAGGUGGUUUGCUCUAAGCCUUGCCAUGGGCUGAACCUGGUAAGCACCGAGACAAAGGACUAUAUCUGCAACCCAUGUACAGGUUUUUUCUGGUGCUACUCUACCUUGAGGCCAACUUUGGGCCUACACUGGAGGAUGCCUCAAGCAGAAGAGCAUGCUUUUAUCGUCGGCAACAAGAAUGUUGGCUUGACUUUUGACCCCUCGACUCGUGAACAUGUUAUUGUGCAAAUCAUCUAUCACCAAAAGGACUUCAAAUCUCGUCAGUAUCACUUGACAUGCGUGCUACGGUGGUGUGGCUCCCGGAAUCCUGCCCUUCAGAACUGGGUACCACCUCUGCCCGUGAAUGAUAUGCCACCUGCCUACCUUGAUGGAGUGCUGUACUGGAUGAGUGAACCAAGGUUGGGACAGAGCUGGGAAUGGGCCGUUGUCUCUUUCGACAUCACUACAAAAACGUUUCAGGUUGUCCCUUGUCCUUCAUGGUUUGCGAGAUGGCAUAGCAGAAACCAUUGCAGUGCGUUUGUGGUUGAGCUCGCGGGAGUGUUGUGUGCUGUUCUAGCAGACCCGGCAGAAGACACUCUAGAUGUGUGGAAGCUAGAGCAUGGCCAAUGGAGCACAGCAUGCAUAAUUCACUUGAAAGCAUGUCCUGGCUAUUCCCUGGAGACAAAUGUUGUGGUGCCAUUAGCUAUUGACCCCGAUGAUGGGAGGAUCAUGCUGAACACCGGGAGGAAAAUCGGUCUAUAUGAUCCAGUGGAGCAAACAAUUGAAACUUUACAUUCACUUGACCAGGUACCGAUUGUUAGCAAUAGACCCAAUAUGCUUUCAACUUCAAAAAAAAAAAAUGAAACUCCAUGGGCACUAGCACCCACGGUUUUAUUGAUAUAG